AAGUCGUAACAAGGUUUCCGUAGGUGAACCUGCGGAAGGAUCAUUAUCGUACAAAAUGUGAGAGGGGCAUGCGAGGGCUGUCGCUGACUCAAAGUCGUGCACGCCCGAGUGUGUCGCCUCACAUAAUAAUCCAUCUCACCCUUUGUGCAUCACCGCGUGGGCACCCCUUUGGGAUCAUCUCGGAGGGGGCUCGCGUUUUCACACAAAACCCCCCUUUUAAAAGUGUAGAAUGACCUCAUUUAUGCGCUAACCCGCAAUCAAUACAACUUUCAACAACGGAUCUCUUGGCUCUC
This 293-nucleotide unclassified non-coding RNA is filed under the name Lactarius sp. (in: basidiomycete fungi). RNAcentral's name for it is "Lactarius sp. (in: Russulaceae) partial contains small subunit ribosomal RNA, internal transcribed spacer 1, and 5.8S ribosomal RNA". The stretch from base 1 to 46 matches the Rfam family "Eukaryotic small subunit ribosomal RNA", at positions 1786 to 1831 of the family's 1831-position model. Lineage: Eukaryota; Fungi; Basidiomycota; Agaricomycetes; Russulales; Russulaceae. The record is from RNAcentral.